This 253-nucleotide ribosomal RNA is filed under the name uncultured bacterium. RNAcentral describes it as "partial 16S ribosomal RNA". It matches the Rfam family "Bacterial small subunit ribosomal RNA", at positions 524 to 776 of the family's 1533-position model. The record is from RNAcentral.
UACGUAGGGUGCAAGCGUUAAUCGGAAUUACUGGGGGUAAAGCGUGCGCAGGCGGUUUUGUAAGUCUGACGUGAAAUCCCCGGGCUCAACCUGGGAAUUGCGUUGGAGACUGCAAGGCUAGAAUCUGGCAGAGGGGGGUAGAAUUCCACGUGUAGCAGUGAAAUGCGUAGAGAUGUGGAGGAACACCGAUGGCGAAGGCAGCCCCCUGGGUCAAGAUUGACGCUCAUGCACGAAAGCGUGGGGAGCAAACAGG